Pangasianodon gigas (Mekong giant catfish) is the source of this 71-nucleotide non-coding RNA. Lineage: Eukaryota; Metazoa; Chordata; Actinopteri; Siluriformes; Pangasiidae. The record is from the annotation of a GenBank genome assembly.
CUUUUCCUUCAGCCCAGUCCAGAAUGAACUUCUGCACAGAGACUGUUUUUCCAAUUCCAGCAACUCCUUUA